CCUGCGCGUGGCACGCCACUUCCAGUGCACAGACCCCAAAAACUGCAGUGUGGUGAGUCGCCAGCUCCCUGGGCUGCUACCAAACACGGCCCUAACUCCUCCAACCCCCUUGGUGGGCAUGUGUUCACUGUGGCAGGAGCUGACUCCAGACUAUAGCAUGGAGAGCCACCAGCGGGACCACGAGAACUACGUGGCGUGUUCACGCAGCCACCGGCGCCGAGCCAAGGCCCUGCUGGACUUUGAGCGGCACGACGAUGACGAGCUGGGCUUCCGCAAGAACGACAUCAUCACAAUCGUGUCUCAGAAGGACGAGCACUGCUGGGUGGGGGAGCUCAACGGCCUACGAGGCUGGUUUCCAGCCAAGUUCGUGGAAGUCCUGGAUGAGCGCAGCAAAGAGUACUCCAUCGCGGGGGACGACUCGGUGACGGAGGGCGUCACAGACCUCGUGCGAGGGACCCUCUGCCCGGCCCUUAAGGCCCUGUUCGAACAUGGACUGAAGAAGCCAUCCCUGCUUGGGGGCGCCUGCCACCCCUGGCUGUUUAUCGAGGAGGCUGCAGGCCGGGAGGUCGAGAGAGACUUUGCCUCCGUGUAUUCCCGCCUGGUGCUCUGUAAGACCUUCAGGUUGGAUGAAGAUGGCAAGGUCCUGACCCCGGAGGAGCUGCUCUACCGGGCUGUGCAGUCUGUGAACGUGACCCACGAUGCAGUGCACGCACAAAUGGAUGUGAAGCUCCGCUCACUGAUCUGCGUGGGGCUCAAGUGAGUGUGGAAAAGGGGUUGGAGGAGGCCCUGGAGUGGGGGGACCCAGCCCAGCAUCAGGGGGGUCCUUACAGGGAACCCUAAAGGACAAAGAAC
Molecule: small RNA, 852 nt
Filed under: Pongo abelii (Sumatran orangutan)
Lineage: Eukaryota; Metazoa; Chordata; Mammalia; Primates; Hominidae
Description: retained intron
Source: RNAcentral